CCAUUCCCGUCAAAAAAUUUUAUGUGCUCAAUGGCUUUCCGACAAUUUAUUGAGCAAACUUUUCCAAGGAACCCAUAUGUUUUGAAGGCUCUAACUAUUAAAAAACAAUGAAAAACCUGCGAAGUAGCACUUAACCCUACCGUCUCCUAUAUUUUAAUUCACCCCAACUCCCGUCAAACCCCUUUCUCCUCUAUGGCUUGGCCACAGCGAUGUGGUGAGUUUCUUAUGGGAACAACUGUCAGACGUUUAUUAUGUUUUGAUUUCGGCAAAGUAAACAGUAAAAGUAGAAAAAACAAAAAAAAAACUGUCUUCAAAGUUGUCCAUCCAGUUGGCGAAACAGUGAAGGUUUGACUUGAAAUCUAUCAAUAAAAAACACUGUUUAGUCACGUCGACGUCGGUUAGAAUAGAGUGACAAGAAGUGAACGGUGCGCUCCAGAAAACGAUGCAUCUACUGGGAAACGGGAUCUUCGUCGUCCACCCUGAUGACGGCAAUACGUCUUGGCUCCUGCUGGUGCUGCAAUAUCUAUCGGGACGAUAGGAACGAUGGAAAUUCUCUGCAUUCGGAUGUGUUAUGCUCUGCAUUCGGAUUGGUCAACAAAAGGAAUUGCGUUUGGGACUAGAAAGAUGACAUUCGUGGACCAUCUCAAGCAUCAAUAGCAUUAGGAUGGAUGGUGGGAUGCAUUCGGUAUAGCCGUAUCAGAACGGUGGUAAUCAACUACACCAACAAGGUACUUUACUACUGUCAAUGGCUCUUUCACCAUUUCGGUUAUCAUGGCAAGCCACAUCAUCAUGAAAUUCGACAUGUUUGUCACCGUUUUGGACUAACCCCUAUAGCAACCGUAUAUUGUUAUAAUUUUCGUAUUCUUGUGUAUCAGUUUAGCUAAAACAAUUAAAAUCACAAGGAGAGGGGUGAGGGAUUUUCUUUAGCUAGGAACUACUACAUAUCCGAAAAUUGGUUACCUGGUUCAGCAUGUGCUCCCGGAACUACAAGAUAAUGAUAUGCAGGCUUUCUCUAAUAAUUCAAUGAAAUUCGUUGUAAA
This is a long non-coding RNA of Aedes albopictus (Asian tiger mosquito), 1040 nucleotides long. RefSeq lists it as uncharacterized. The record is from RefSeq and is a predicted model, not a curated record. Lineage: Eukaryota; Metazoa; Arthropoda; Insecta; Diptera; Culicidae. The transcript has 3 exons.